UAGGGAAUCUUCGGCAAUGGACGAAAGUCUGACCGAGCAACGCCGCGUGAGUGAAGAAGGUUUUCGGAUCGUAAAACUCUGUUGUUAGAGAAGAACAAGGACGUUAGUAACUGAACGUCCCCUGACGGUAUCUAACCAGAAAGCCACGGCUAACUACGUGCCAGCAGCCGCGGUAAUACGUAGGUGGCAAGCGUUGUCCGGAUUUAUUGGGCGUAAAGCGAGCGCAGGCGGUUUCUUAAGUCUGAUGUGAAAGCCCCCGGCUCAACCGGGGAGGGUCAUUGGAAACUGGGAGACUUGAGUGCAGAAGAGGAGAGUGGAAUUCCAUGUGUAGCGGUGAAAUGCGUAGAUAUAUGGAGGAACACCAGUGGCGAAGGCGGCUCUCUGGUAUGUAACUGACGCUGAGGCUCGAAAGCGUGGGGAGCAAACAGG
This 429-nucleotide ribosomal RNA is filed under the name Gemmatimonadota bacterium. RNAcentral describes it as "Gemmatimonadetes bacterium partial 16S ribosomal RNA". It matches the Rfam family "Bacterial small subunit ribosomal RNA", at positions 355 to 776 of the family's 1533-position model. Lineage: Bacteria; Pseudomonadati; Gemmatimonadota. The record is from RNAcentral.